GCGUCGAGCGAGGUGAAGGCCAAUCCGCACGCUUCGGAAGCGUGCUCCGAUGCGUCGCGGAACCUC
This 66-nucleotide small RNA is filed under the name Sinorhizobium meliloti 2011. RNAcentral's name for it is "putative ncRNA". Lineage: Bacteria; Pseudomonadati; Pseudomonadota; Alphaproteobacteria; Hyphomicrobiales; Rhizobiaceae. The record is from RNAcentral.